CAUAAGUUUCCUGAAGCCUCUCCAGAAGCUGAGCAGAUGACAGCCUCCUGCUUCCUGUACAGCCUGUGAAACUGUGGAAUCAGAGGUUUCUGGCUGACUCGGUGGGUGCUUUGAACCAGGAAAGGACAAGAAAGAGGAUGGGAAGGACUGAUCCACAUUCCCACCAGGAAGUUUAGCAGAACCCCCGCGUGCCACCUGGACCCCUUGGAAGGACCUGGCUCAGGCUGGACCACCUCUUGAGAGGCAGGAGCUCUGGAUUUGAUCAAGAAUUCUUUGCUGAGCAUGGUGCCUCAUGCCUAUAAUCCCAACACUUUGGGAGGCCAGUGUGGGAGGAUCUCUUGAGCCCAGGAGUUCAAGACUAGCCUGGGCAACACAGAGAGACCCCAUCUCUAAAAUAAUAAUAAUAAUAAAAUAAAAAAUUAGCAGGGCAUGGUGGCAUGUGCCUGUAGUCCCAGCUACCCAGGAGGCUGAGGCAAGAGGAUGGCUGGAGCCUGGGAUGUUGAGGCUGCAAUGAACUGUGAUUACCCCACUGCACUCCAGCCUGGGCAAAAGAGCGAGAGACCCUGUCUCAAAUAAUAAUAAUAAUAAUAAUCUUAUUUUGGAGAAUAAAGAGACCUCUGGAUUUGAGGUGCCAUUUGGGUAGAAAGAAAAGACGUUUACACCGAGAAAUAGUCUGUGUUGCCCUGAAGGAGCAGAGGGAUGCAUCGCUGGAGGUGACCUACAGUUGAAGAAGACUCAUUAUGACAGACCUUGUCCUUCUUCCUUGUGGAAAGUGUUUCCUCUGCUGCUACUGCUCAUGAGACUCUUCCCCCUCCCUGUCCCAGGGAACCAAAGGGCUUUCUACCACACCCUUUCUUGCCCCCCGCCUCCCAUGUCUGCUGUGCCUUUGUACUCAGCAAUUCUUGUUUGCUCCAUUAUCUUCCAGCCGGAUACAGAGUGAAUAGUUAACCACACUUAGGUCAAAUAGGAUCUAAAUUUUUGUUCCUGCUCCGUGUAAAGAGGCCAGUGUUUGUGUGUUGCAAGCAGCCUUGGAAUAGUAACUCUUCUCAUUUGUUUGGGAUCUGGCCACCAAGUUCCAGAAUGAUACACGGAUCAGUGCAGAAGUUCAUCAGGCUCUCGGACCUUAGGGCUGUUGGAGAAGGCUUCAGCAGCAGAACUGAUGGUGAAGGCUCGUGUUCUCCAUCCUCAACUUUCUUUGCUUCGAUCAUACACAAGAAUACAUUUGGAAGGGCAAAAAAUGAACACUGUCGUUCAUUGCAGCCGUGUUUUGUGACACAGAUGCACAGUCUGCUGUGAAGACCUUCUCUCAAGUGGCAUUUGGGAGUCCAUGCCAGAUCAUGGUGCUUCAUGAGAGACUGACAGCUAUCAGGGGUUGUGGCACUUAGUGAGGACUCUCCUCCCCCAGUGUGUGCUGAUGACACAUACACACCUGACAAUAGCUUGAGUCUUCUCUGUUCCUUUUACUCUGUAGCCAACAUACACAUGAUUUAAAACCCUUUCUAAAUAUCUAUCAUGGUUCAUCCUUGUCCAAAUGCAGAGUCAGAGCUAUUUGUACUUCAUUAUUAUUUCCAAGGCGAAUAGUUGGCUUUCUUUUUGCAAAAAUAAUUAAAGUUUUUGUAUGUUGCA
Molecule: long non-coding RNA, 1626 nt
Filed under: Homo sapiens (human)
Lineage: Eukaryota; Metazoa; Chordata; Mammalia; Primates; Hominidae
Description: long intergenic non-protein coding RNA 511
Source: RNAcentral